AUUUGUCUGGUUAAUUCCGAUAACGAACGAGACCUUAACUUGCUAGCUAGUUCUCAAUACUCUGUAUUCUGCAACUUCUUAGAGGGACUAUGUAAAUCAAUUACAUGGAAGUUUGAGGCAAUAACAGGUCAGUGAUGCCCUUAUAUGUCCUGGGCUGCACGCGUGCUACACUGAUGCAUACAACAAGUGCCUAGCCAGACAUGGUAUGGCAAUCUCGAAUAUGCAUCGUGAUGGGGAUAGAUCUUUGCAAUUAUAGAUCUUGAACGAGGAAUUCCUAGUAAGUGCAAGUCAUCAUCUUGCAUUGACUAUGUCCCUGCCCUUUGUACACACCGCCCGUCGCUCCUACCGAUACCGGGUGAUCCGGUGAACCUUUUGGACUCCGUAUGGGGGAAGAUAAGUAAACCAUAUCACCUAGAGGAAGGAGAAGUCGUAACAAGGUUUCCGUAGGUGAACCUGCRGAAGGAUCA
This 467-nucleotide ribosomal RNA is filed under the name uncultured ciliate. Its description in RNAcentral is "SSU rRNA". It matches the Rfam family "Eukaryotic small subunit ribosomal RNA". Lineage: Eukaryota; Ciliophora. The record is from RNAcentral.